RNAcentral lists this ribosomal RNA (253 nucleotides) under uncultured bacterium. Its description in RNAcentral is "partial 16S ribosomal RNA". It matches the Rfam family "Bacterial small subunit ribosomal RNA", at positions 524 to 776 of the family's 1533-position model. The record is from RNAcentral.
GACGUAGGGCGCGAGCGUUGUCCGGAUUUAUUGGGCGUAAAGAGCUCGUAGGCGGUUUGUCGCGUCGUCUGUGAAAACCCACGGCUCAACUGUGGGCUUGCAGUCGAUACGGGCAGGCUAGAGUUCGGUAGGGGAGACUGGAAUUCCUGGUGUAGCGGUGAAAUGCGCAGAUAUCAGGAGGAACACCGGUGGCGAAGGCGGGUCUCUGGGCCGAUAUCGACGCUGAGGAGCGAAAGCGUGGGGAGCGAACAGG